Molecule: ribosomal RNA, 574 nt
Filed under: Penicillium sp. MF-6
Lineage: Eukaryota; Fungi; Ascomycota; Eurotiomycetes; Eurotiales; Aspergillaceae
Description: eukaryotic LSU rRNA
Rfam family: 5.8S ribosomal RNA (bases 204-356)
Source: RNAcentral
CGUAGGUGAACCUGCGGAAGGAUCAUUACUGAGUGAGGGCCCUCUGGGUCCAACCUCCCACCCGUGUUUAUUUACCUUGUUGCUUCGGCGGGCCCGCCUUAACUGGCCGCCGGGGGGCUUACGCCCCCGGGCCCGCGCCCGCCGAAGACACCCUCGAACUCUGUCUGAAGAUUGUAGUCUGAGUGAAAAUAUAAAUUAUUUAAAACUUUCAACAACGGAUCUCUUGGUUCCGGCAUCGAUGAAGAACGCAGCGAAAUGCGAUACGUAAUGUGAAUUGCAAAUUCAGUGAAUCAUCGAGUCUUUGAACGCACAUUGCGCCCCCUGGUAUUCCGGGGGGCAUGCCUGUCCGAGCGUCAUUGCUGCCCUCAAGCACGGCUUGUGUGUUGGGCCCCGUCCUCCGAUUCCGGGGGACGGGCCCGAAAGGCAGCGGCGGCACCGCGUCCGGUCCUCGAGCGUAUGGGGCUUUGUCACCCGCUCUGUAGGCCCGGCCGGCGCUUGCCGAUCAACCCAAAUUUUUAUCCAGGUUGACCUCGGAUCAGGUAGGGAUACCCGCGAACUUAAGCAUAUCAAUAAG